RNA transcript from Solanum stenotomum, 308 nucleotides. It is a transcript of the gene named defensin-like protein 1, with no coding region annotated. NCBI's taxonomy places the organism in Eukaryota, Viridiplantae, Streptophyta, Magnoliopsida, Solanales, Solanaceae. The transcript has 2 exons. The record is from RefSeq and is a predicted model, not a curated record.
AAUACCUCUUCACUACAAUUCAUAUAACAAACUUACACAUUAACUUUUCUAAUUAAAUCCAUCAUCAUGAAUACCAAACUCAUUCUAGCCCUCUUGUUUUGCUUCCUCCUCAUUGCAUCCAAUGAGAUGCAAGUUGGAGAAGCAAAAGUAUGUCAAAGGCGGAGCAAGACAUGGUCAGGGCCAUGUAUUAACACAGGGAAUUGCAGCCGUCAAUGCAAGGAACAAGAGGAUGCUCGUUUUGGAGCUUGUCACAGAAGUGGCUUUGGAUUUGCUUGCUUUUGCUAUUUCAAAUGCUAAAUUAUUUCUAU